RNAcentral lists this ribosomal RNA (738 nucleotides) under Paenibacillus rigui. RNAcentral's name for it is "bacterial SSU rRNA". It matches the Rfam family "Bacterial small subunit ribosomal RNA", at positions 20 to 749 of the family's 1533-position model. The record is from RNAcentral. Lineage: Bacteria; Bacillati; Bacillota; Bacilli; Caryophanales; Paenibacillaceae.
UGGCUCAGGACGAACGCUGGCGGCGUGCCUAAUACAUGCAAGUCGAGCGGAUUUNUCCUUCGGGNNCAGUUAGCGGCGGACGGGUGAGUAACACGUAGGCAACCUGCCUGUAAGACUGGGAUAACUAUCGGAAACGAUAGCUAAGACCGGAUAGCUGGUUUUCUCGCAUGAGAAGAUCAUGAAACACGGAGCAAUCUGUGGCUUAUAGAUGGGCCUGCGGCGCAUUAGCUAGUUGGUGAGGUAAUGGCUCACCAAGGCGACGAUGCGUAGCCGACCUGAGAGGGUGAUCGGCCACACUGGGACUGAGACACGGCCCAGACUCCUACGGGAGGCAGCAGUAGGGAAUCUUCCGCAAUGGACGCAAGUCUGACGGAGCAACGCCGCGUGAGUGAUGAAGGUUUUCGGAUCGUAAAGCUCUGUUGCCAGGGAAGAACGCCUAGGAGAGUAACUGCUCUUAGGUUGACGGUACCUGAGAAGAAAGCCCCGGCUAACUACGUGCCAGCAGCCGCGGUAAUACGUAGGGGGCAAGCGUUGUCCGGAAUUAUUGGGCGUAAAGCGCGCGCAGGCGGUCAUUUAAGUUUGGUGUUUAAGCCCGGGGCUCAACCCCGGAUCGCACUGAAAACUGGGUGACUUGAGUGCGGGAGAGGAAAGUGGAAUUCCACGUGUAGCGGUGAAAUGCGUAGAGAUGUGGAGGAACACCAGUGGCGAAGGCGACUUUCUGGACCGUAACNGACGCGA